CCUACGGGAGGCUGCAGUGGGGAAUAUUGCACAAUGGGGGAAACCCUGAUGCAGCGACGCCGCGUGAGUGAAGAAGUAUUUCGGUAUGUAAAGCUCUAUCAGCAGGAACGAGAGAAGACGGUACCUGACUAAGAAGCCCCGGCUAACUACGUGCCAGCAGCCGCGGUAAUACGGAGGGUGCGAGCGUUGUCCGGAGUCAUUGGGUGUAAAGGGUGCGCAGGCGGUACGGUAAGCGGGCGGUGAAAUCUCGGGGCUCAACCCGGCGCCGCCGUCGGAACUGGGGGCCUUGAGUGCGGCAGAGGCAUGCGGAAUGCGCGGUGUAGCGGUGAAAUGCGUAGAUAUCGGGAAGAACCCCGAUGGCGAAGGCAGCGUGCCGUGCCGCCACUGACGCUGAGGCACGAAAGCGCGGGGAUCGAACAGGAUUAGAUACCCGAGUAGUC
This 440-nucleotide ribosomal RNA is filed under the name uncultured bacterium. RNAcentral describes it as "partial 16S ribosomal RNA". It matches the Rfam family "Bacterial small subunit ribosomal RNA", at positions 338 to 795 of the family's 1533-position model. The record is from RNAcentral.